RNAcentral lists this ribosomal RNA (446 nucleotides) under uncultured bacterium. RNAcentral's name for it is "bacterial SSU rRNA". It matches the Rfam family "Bacterial small subunit ribosomal RNA", at positions 330 to 792 of the family's 1533-position model. The record is from RNAcentral.
GCCAGACUCCUACGGGAGGCAGCAGUGGGGAAUAUUGGGCAAUGGGCGCAAGCCUGACCCAGCAACGCCGCGUGAAGGAUGAAGGUUUUCGGAUUGUAAACUUCUGUCGCGAGGGACGAAGAAUGACGGUACCUCGUAAGAAAGCCCCGGCUAACUACGUGCCAGCAGCCGCGGUAAUACGUAGGGGGCAAGCGUUGUCCGGAAUGACUGGGCGUAAAGGGAGCGCAGGCGGCGCGGCAAGUCUGAUGUGAAAGCCCGGGGCUCAACCCCGGGUCUGCAUUGGAAACUGUCGAGCUAGAGUGUCGGAGGGGUAAGCGGAAUUCCUAGUGUAGCGGUGAAAUGCGUAGAUAUUAGGAGGAACACCAGUGGCGAAGGCGGCUUACUGGACGAUGACUGACGCUGAGGCUCGAAAGCGUGGGGAGCAAACAGGAUUAGAUACCCUGGUA